GUGGGGGAUAUUGCACAAUGGAGGAAACUCUGAUGCAGCGACGCCGCGUGAGUGAAGAAGUAUUUCGGUAUGUAAAGCUCUAUCAGCAGGGAAGAUAAUGACAGUACCUGACUAAGAAGCCCCGGCUAACUACGUGCCAGCAGCCGCGGUAAUACGUAGGGGGCAAGCGUUAUCCGGAUUUACUGGGUGUAAAGGGAGCGUAGACGGAAUGGCAAGUCUGAAGUGAAAUCCUGCGGCUUAACUGCAGAAUUGCUUUGGAAACUGUCAAUCUGGAGUGUUGGAGAGGUAAGCGGAAUUCCUGGUGUAGCGGUGAAAUGCGUAGAUAUCAGGAAGAACACCGGAGGCGAAGGCGGCUUACUGGACAAUAACUGACGUUGAGGCUCGAAAGCGUGGGAAGCAAACAGGAUUAGAUACCCGUGUAGUCC
This 425-nucleotide ribosomal RNA is filed under the name uncultured bacterium. RNAcentral's name for it is "partial 16S ribosomal RNA". It matches the Rfam family "Bacterial small subunit ribosomal RNA", at positions 354 to 796 of the family's 1533-position model. The record is from RNAcentral.